Molecule: long non-coding RNA, 872 nt
Organism: Symphalangus syndactylus (siamang)
Lineage: Eukaryota; Metazoa; Chordata; Mammalia; Primates; Hylobatidae
Source: RefSeq, a predicted model, not a curated record
CAAACCACGAAAGCCCAACCAAGCUAGUUCAAGGAGAAGGGCAUCUAGCAGCUCUGGUAAUGGAAAAGGCCAGACGUGACAGCACUGGCUUCAGACACAGCUGAAUCCAGGGACUAAAGCAUAUCCUUUGACCUGUUAGUGCUCUCCCUCUGUCUCUGUCUCUUCUGCACACAGCUUCUUCCACGUGGCAGGGGCAGGGUGAGGCCACAGACAGCUCCCGCUCACAUCAUCCCAGCUAAUGGCUUCACAGGAAAGAGUGAAGCAAAAUCCCAGAGAAGUCUGAUUGUCCCAGCCUGGAUCUCAUGGCUGUGGGCAGUGGAAAAGCUGAGGGAACUGGAGAACAGCUGCUGUCCUCUCCCUGCGCACAUCUGUCUGCCUCAUGCCAAAGGGAGACAAUGGCUAAAGGGGGCCUGUAUUGAUCAGGCCCUGCAGAGAAACAGAACGCACAGGAUGUGUAUGCAUGUAUAGGUAGGUAGGGAGACAGAGAGUGGGGAGACAGAGAUUUGAGAAAUUGGCUCAUGUGAUUACAGAGGCUGGCAAGUCCAAAAUUUGCAGGGUGGGUGAUAUGGUUUGGCUGUGUCCCCACCCAAAUCUCAUCUUGAAUUGUAGCUCCCAUAAUUCCCACGUGUCAUGGGAGGGACCCCAUGGGAGGUAAUUGAAUCAUGGGGCUGGGUCUUUCCCAUGCUGUUCUCACGAUAGUGAAUAAGUCUCAGGACAUCUGGUGGUUUUAUAAAAGGGAGUUCCCUGCACAAGCUCCCUUUUGCCUGCUGCCAUGGAAGACGUGCCUUUGCUCCUUUGCCUUCCACCGUGAUUGUGAGGCCUCCCCAGCCUCGUGGAGCUGUCAGUCCAUUAAACCUCUUUUUCUUUAUAAA